UAAUGAGAGUUUGAUCCUGGCUCAGGACGAACGCUGGCGGCGUGCCUAAUACAUGCAAGUAGAACGCUGAAGAGAGGAGCUUGCUCUUCUUGGAUGAGUUGCGAACGGGUGAGUAACGCGUAGGUAACCUGCCUUGUAGCGGGGGAUAACUAUUGGAAACGAUAGCUAAUACCGCAUAACAAUGGAUGACACAUGUCAUUUAUUUGAAAGGGGCAAUUGCUCCACUACAAGAUGGACCUGCGUUGUAUUAGCUAGUAGGUGAGGUAACGGCUCACCUAGGCGACGAUACAUAGCCGACCUGAGAGGGUGAUCGGCCACACUGGGACUGAGACACGGCCCAGACUCCUACGGGAGGCAGCAGUAGGGAAUCUUCGGCAAUGGGGGCAACCCUGACCGAGCAACGCCGCGUGAGUGAAGAAGGUUUUCGGAUCGUAAAGCUCUGUUGUAAGUCAAGAACGAGUGUGAGAGUGGAAAGUUCACACUGUGACGGUAGCUUACCAGAAAGGGACGGCUAACUACGUGCCAGCAGCCGCGGUAAUACGUAGGUCCCGAGCGUUGUCCGGAUUUAUUGGGCGUAAAGCGAGCGCAGGCGGUUUGAUAAGUCUGAAGUUAAAGGCUGUGGCUCAACCAUAGUUCGCUUUGGAAACUGUCAAACUUGAGUGCAGAAGGGGAGAGUGGAAUUCCAUGUGUAGCGGUGAAAUGCGUAGAUAUAUGGAGGAACACCGGUGGCGAAAGCGGCUCUCUGGUCUGUAACUGACGCUGAGGCUCGAAAGCGUGGGGAGCGAACAGGAUUAGAUACCCUGGUAGUCCACGCCGUAAACGAUGAGUGCUAGGUGUUGGAUCCUUUCCGGGAUUCAGUGCCGCAGCUAACGCAUUAAGCACUCCGCCUGGGGAGUACGACCGCAAGGUUGAAACUCAAAGGAAUUGACGGGGGCCCGCACAAGCGGUGGAGCAUGUGGUUUAAUUCGAAGCAACGCGAAGAACCUUACCAGGUCUUGACAUCCCGAUGCUAUUUCUAGAGAUAGAAAGUUACUUCGGUACAUCGGUGACAGGUGGUGCAUGGUUGUCGUCAGCUCGUGUCGUGAGAUGUUGGGUUAAGUCCCGCAACGAGCGCAACCCCUAUUGUUAGUUGCCAUCAUUCAGUUGGGCACUCUAGCGAGACUGCCGGUAAUAAACCGGAGGAAGGUGGGGAUGACGUCAAAUCAUCAUGCCCCUUAUGACCUGGGCUACACACGUGCUACAAUGGUUGGUACAACGAGUCGCAAGCCGGUGACGGCAAGCUAAUCUCUUAAAGCCAAUCUCAGUUCGGAUUGUAGGCUGCAACUCGCCUACAUGAAGUCGGAAUCGCUAGUAAUCGCGGAUCAGCACGCCGCGGUGAAUACGUUCCCGGGCCUUGUACACACCGCCCGUCACACCACGAGAGUUUGUAACACCCGAAGUCGGUGAGGUAACCUUUUGGAGCCAGCCGCCUAAGGUGGGAUAGAUGAUUGGGGUGAAGUCGUAACAAGGUAGCCGUAUCGGAAGGUGCGGCUGGAUCACCUCCUU
This 1545-nucleotide ribosomal RNA is filed under the name Streptococcus salivarius. Its description in RNAcentral is "Bacterial small subunit ribosomal RNA". It matches the Rfam family "Bacterial small subunit ribosomal RNA". Lineage: Bacteria; Bacillati; Bacillota; Bacilli; Lactobacillales; Streptococcaceae. The record is from RNAcentral.